This 957-nucleotide ribosomal RNA is filed under the name Inosperma lanatodiscum. RNAcentral's name for it is "partial large subunit ribosomal RNA". Lineage: Eukaryota; Fungi; Basidiomycota; Agaricomycetes; Agaricales; Inocybaceae. The record is from RNAcentral.
AACUUAAGCAUAUCAAUAAGCGGAGGAAAAGAAACUAACCAGGAUUCCCUUAGUAACUGCGAGUGAAGUGGGAAGAGCUCAAAUUUGUAAUCUGGCGGCCUUUGGACGUCCGAGUUGUAAUCUAAAGAAGUGCUACCUGUGCUGGACCGUGUACAAGUCUUCUGGAAUGGAGCAUCACAGAGGGUGAGAAUCCCGUCUUUGACAUGGACYGCCAGUGCUCAAUAGGUGUGCUCUCGAAGAGUCGAGUUGUUUGGGAAUGCAGCUCAAAAUGGGUGGUAAAUGCCAUCUAAAGCUAAAUAUUGGCGAGAGACCGAUAGCGAACAAGUACCGUGAGGGAAAGAUGAAAAGAACUUUGGAAAGAGAGUUAAACAGUACGUGAAAUUGCUGAAAGGGAAACGCUUGAAGUCAGUCGCGUCYGUYGGGAAUCAACCUUGCUCUUGCUGGGUGUACUUUCUGUCGGACGGGUCAGCAUCAGUUUCGGUCGCUGGACAAAGUUCUUUGGGAAUGUGGCAUCCUCGGAUGUGUUAUAGCCCUUGGGACACAUGCAGCGGUCGGGAUUGAGGAACUCAGCACGCCCGCGAGGGCUGGGGCUUUUUGCCCACAUAACUGUGCUUAGGAUGCUGGCGUAAUGGCUUUAAUCGACCCGUCUUGAAACACGGACCAAGGAGUCUAACAUGCCUGCGAGUGUUUGAGUGGAAAACUCAUGCGCGCAAUGAAAGUGAUAGUUGAGAUCCCUGUCAUGGGGAGCAUCGAUGCCCAGACCAGACCUUUUGUGACGGAUCUGCGGUAGAGCAUGCAUGUUGGGACCCGAAAGAUGGUGAACUAUGCCUGAAUAGGGUGAAGCCAGAGGAAACUCUGGUGGAGGCUCGUAGCGAUUCUGACGUGCAAAUCGAUCGUCAAAUUUGGGUAUAGGGGCGAAAGACUAAUCGAACCAUCUAGUAGCUGGUUCCUGCCGAA